RNAcentral lists this ribosomal RNA (199 nucleotides) under uncultured bacterium. RNAcentral describes it as "partial 16S ribosomal RNA". It matches the Rfam family "Bacterial small subunit ribosomal RNA", at positions 1302 to 1500 of the family's 1533-position model. The record is from RNAcentral.
AGGCUGCAACUCGCCUGCAUGAAGUUGGAAUUGCUAGUAAUCGCGAAUCAGAAUGUCGCGGUGAAUACGUUCCCGGGCCUUGUACACACCGCCCGUCACACCAUGAGAGUCGAUAACACCCGAAGCCUGUGAGCUAACCGCAAGGGGGCAGCAGUCGAAGGUGGGGUUNAUGAUUGGGGUGAAGUCGUAACAAGGUACC